Molecule: ribosomal RNA, 253 nt
Filed under: uncultured bacterium
Lineage: Bacteria
Description: partial 16S ribosomal RNA
Rfam family: Bacterial small subunit ribosomal RNA
Source: RNAcentral
UACAGAGGUCCCGAGCGUUGUUCGGAUUCAUUGGGCGUAAAGGGUGCGUAGGCGGUCUGCUAAGUUUGAUGUGAAAUCCCGGGGCUCAACCCUGGAAUGCCAGUGGAAACUGUCGAGCUAGAGUCCGGAAGAGGCGAGUGGAAUUCCUGGUGUAGCGGUGAAAUGCGCAGAUAUCAGGAGGAACACCAAUGGCGAAGGCAGCUCGCUGGGACGGUACUGACGCUGAGACGCGAAAGCGUGGGGAGCAAACAGG